Molecule: long non-coding RNA, 253 nt
Organism: Macaca mulatta (Rhesus monkey)
Lineage: Eukaryota; Metazoa; Chordata; Mammalia; Primates; Cercopithecidae
Source: RefSeq, a predicted model, not a curated record
UCGCCCGCUUCCAGCUGCACGUUGCCGCGGCUCCGGCUCUCACUGUCGCUCAGCAGGUCGUCCUCCGAGUCCUCGAGCAGCGACGAGGAGCCAGUGGAGGAGACCGACGAGGUGGAAAGGCGGCGCGGCUGCUGCAGGAGCUCGGGGCUUGGAGUCCGCUGUGCGGCGUUCAGCAAGUUAUUUCACUUCCCUUGACUGCGGAUUCUCCCGUUGCCGCGAGAGUAAAAUAAAAGAUUUGAAAUCAGGUACACCA